GACGAACGCUGGCGGCGUGCCUAAUACAUGCAAGUAGAACGCUGAAGCUUGGUGCUUGCACCGAGCGGAUGAGUUGCGAACGGGUGAGUAACGCGUAGGUAACCUGCCUGGUAGCGGGGGAUAACUAUUGGAAACGAUAGCUAAUACCGCAUAACAGUAGAUAUCGCAUGAUAGCUACUUGAAAGGUGCAAAUGCACCACUACCAGAUGGACCUGCGUUGUAUUAGCUAGUUGGUGAGGUAACGGCUCACCAAGGCAACGAUACAUAGCCGACCUGAGAGGGUGAUCGGCCACACUGGGACUGAGACACGGCCCAGACUCCUACGGGAGGCAGCAGUAGGGAAUCUUCGGCAAUGGACGGAAGUCUGACCGAGCAACGCCGCGUGAGUGAAGAAGGUUUUCGGAUCGUAAAGCUCUGUUGUAAGAGAAGAACGAGUGUGAGAGUGGAAAGUUCACAAUGUGACGGUAGCUUACCAGAAAGGGACGGCUAACUACGUG
RNAcentral lists this ribosomal RNA (497 nucleotides) under uncultured bacterium. RNAcentral describes it as "partial 16S ribosomal RNA". It matches the Rfam family "Bacterial small subunit ribosomal RNA", at positions 28 to 507 of the family's 1533-position model. The record is from RNAcentral.